Long non-coding RNA from Hyla sarda, 355 nucleotides. RefSeq lists it as uncharacterized. Lineage: Eukaryota; Metazoa; Chordata; Amphibia; Anura; Hylidae. The record is from RefSeq and is a predicted model, not a curated record. The transcript is spliced from 4 exons.
GUUCCCGUCUGUAGCCUUCCUGGUAGAACUUUAAAAGCAAAGCAAAACUUCCGAGGUAGCAGGAAUCUGCAUGGCGCUGACCGGGACAGACACAAUGCAGCUUUAUUGGCCUCUAGCCGGGCAAACACACGAGGAUACACUUCACCAAUAACGCUAUAGUUUCACUUCACAUUGACGGUUUUUCAAGGUCAUAUAGUCUACAGCAUAUAAAAAAGGAAAAAGGGUGUUACCUGAGGUCUCCUGAGGUGUAAUAGUCUCAGUGGCUUGCUUUGUGUCCUUUCGGAGGGUGCUCUUCUGUUCAGUGUGUGUUAAGGCCUAUGAGAUUGGUCUGCAAGGUUUCUUAGCAGCUUUCUUU